GAUGAACGCUGGCGGCGUGCCUAAUACAUGCAAGUCGAGCGAACAGACGAGGAGCUUGCUCCUCUGACGUUAGCGGCGGACGGGUGAGUAACACGUGGAUAGCCUACCUAUAAGACUGGGAUAACUUCGGGAAACCGGAGCUAAUACCGGAUAAUAUAUUGAACCGCAUGGUUCAAUAGUGAAAGACGGUUUUGCUGUCACUUAUAGAUGGAUCCGCGCCGCAUUAGCUAGUUGGUAAGGUAACGGCUUACCAAGGCAACGAUGCGUAGCCGACCUGAGAGGGUGAUCGGCCACACUGGAACUGAGACACGGUCCAGACUCCUACGGGAGGCAGCAGUAGGGAAUCUUCCGCAAUGGGCGAAAGCCUGACGGAGCAACGCCGCGUGAGUGAUGAAGGUCUUCGGAUCGUAAAACUCUGUUAUUAGGGAAGAACAAAUGUGUAAGUAACUAUGCACGUCUUGACGGUACCCAAUCAGAAAGCCACGGCUAACUACGUG
RNAcentral lists this ribosomal RNA (497 nucleotides) under uncultured bacterium. RNAcentral's name for it is "partial 16S ribosomal RNA". It matches the Rfam family "Bacterial small subunit ribosomal RNA", at positions 28 to 507 of the family's 1533-position model. The record is from RNAcentral.